Molecule: ribosomal RNA, 330 nt
Filed under: uncultured bacterium
Lineage: Bacteria
Description: bacterial SSU rRNA
Rfam family: Bacterial small subunit ribosomal RNA
Source: RNAcentral
CGCGUAGGUGGGAUAGUAAGUCUACUUUAAAAGUGCGGGGCUCAACCCCGUGAUGGGGUGGAAACUGCUAUUCUUGAGUGCAGGAGAGGAAAGCGGAAUUCCCAGUGUAGCGGUGAAAUGCGUAGAUAUUGGGAGGAACACCAGUGGCGAAGGCGGCUUUCUGGACUGUGUCUGACACUGAGGCGCGAAAGCUAGGGGAGCGAACGGGAUUAGAUACCCCGGUAGUCCACGCUGUAAACGAUGGAUACUAGGUGUAGGGGGCGUAGAGCCUUCUGUGCCGCAGCUAACGCAAUAAGUAUCCCGCCUGGGGAGUACGGCCGCAAGGUUGAA